This 433-nucleotide ribosomal RNA is filed under the name uncultured bacterium. Its description in RNAcentral is "partial 16S ribosomal RNA". It matches the Rfam family "Bacterial small subunit ribosomal RNA", at positions 29 to 507 of the family's 1533-position model. The record is from RNAcentral.
AACGAACGCUGGCGGCAUGCCUAACACAUGCAAGUCGAACGAGACCUUCGGGUCUAGUGGCGCACGGGUGCGUAACGCGUGGGAACCUGCCCUUAGGUUCGGAAUAACUCCCCGAAAGGGGUGCUAAUACCGGAUAAUGUCUUCGGACCAAAGAUUUAUCGCCUUUGGAUGGGCCCGCGUUGGAUUAGCUAGUUGGUAGGGUAAAAGCCUACCAAGGCGACGAUCCAUAGCUGGUCUGAGAGGAUGAUCAGCCACACUGGGACUGAGACACGGCCCAGACUCCUACGGGAGGCAGCAGUGGGGAAUCUUGGACAAUGGGCGAAAGCCUGAUGCAGCAAUGCCGCGUGAGUGAUGAAGGCCUUAGGGUUGUAAAGCUCUUUUACCCGGGAUGAUAAUGACGGUACCGGGAGAAUAAGCCCCGGCUAACUCCGUG